Molecule: long non-coding RNA, 7003 nt
Organism: Equus caballus (horse)
Lineage: Eukaryota; Metazoa; Chordata; Mammalia; Perissodactyla; Equidae
Source: Ensembl
AUCUGUAGAGAAAGACCUGAGGCAGGAAAUAGGGUUGCUCACCUUGGCCUGAACUUGGCCUUUGCUCAUUUAUCUCAUGGGACUUGAUCAUACCUAUUCCAGCCUCUUCCUUCUCUGCCACCACCAAGGGCAGUGGUCCCGACCUCAGGAACUCAGCUCUCUUUCUUCUUGUGCUCCCUGCCCUUUAUGCUAAGGCUCAAGGCAACAAGUCAAGUCGGUGGCCUCCAGUGAGUCUUAGCAAUGUGUGAUGAUAUGGUGGAUGCUGAAAUGCACCACUCAGAUGCUCCUUCACGCUGCGAGUGCCGCCAGCAGACAAUCUUCAGCUGUUAGUCUUACUUCAGAAGCAGACAGUUCUAGAGAGCCAUCCCAUCUUCAGAACUCUAAGACGUCCUUUAAGACUCGAUCUCUCCCUCUGCCCCAACCUACAUCCUCUCCUUCCCUUCUACAGGCUCUGGUCCCAAGAGUAUUCCUCAUAAACCCCCUCCAUGCUAAUCUUUAUCUCCUAGGGAACCACUUUGCAACAGAUGGAAGGAACCUGAAUCCAGAUGAGAAGACUUGUUUGAGCCUGACACAUCCUGGCUGUGUUAUCUUGGACCAGACUUGGUCUUUAUUGCUGUGGUUGUUACCAGGCACCAUGCCUGGCACACAGAAGGCUCUCAACAAGUGCUUGUUGAUUCAGAUAAUGGGUGGAACUUUCUCUGGAAAUCUUUGUAAAACCCACACAAUUGUCGUUUGUUAUUAUUUAGAGUUGGAAAGGGAAAAAAACAAAGAUAAUUCCAGUGGAAAAAGGAAAGAUGGGACUAGAUUAAAAGCUGGAGAUCCUGGAGCAGAGAAAGCAGGGAAGAGGAGGCCAUAGUUGUCCAGAGGAGACGUAAUAAAGAUGAGAAGGAAACCAAGCACUCAGAAAAAAGAGAACUUGGGAAGAACAGAGGUGCAGAAACCAAAGGUGAAGAAGUGCACUGUAAACGGGCCAUCACUAGUGUGCAGCGCUUCAGAAAUGUCAAGAGAGCUAAGCAUGGCGUAAAGCAUCAGCUGUAAGCGCAACGCUCGCGUUCACUCUUGCACAAAUGUUUAAUUGGCCCUUAGGAGUCUACUUGGAAAGGGGGACCAGGAACACAUCUGUCUCCUUCACCACUGUGGACCCUGUGCUUAAGAAGCUGCUGGUGUCCAGUGGGCUUCUGACAACUAUUUAUUAUCGUUGAACAAUUCUUAGGUGUUUGAAAACAAAAUGGGUAGUUUAUUGUCACUACUGAAAUAAUAUGUUGGAAAAUCUGUGUGCCGCCAACUUCUGCCACACACACGGGAACACACACACCUACCUGCCCCCACUCUAUCUAGCCCAGUUGCUGAGUAUAAACAAAGCUGGUAUAUCAGAGUUGUUUUCCUAUGCACCAGCCUUGGAAAGGAACACCUAAGCCCCUCCCUACACUUAUUUGAGGCUUCUACACUCCUUCUGAACAUUAAUAAUUCUUUAAAGGGUAUGUAAAUGAACCACUAAUAAGACCGCAUGCUUCUAAAUUUAGUCAGGAAAGAUAUGUACGCGUUAUAGAAUAUAGAUGAAAGCUCUAAAGACACGUUUUGAAGGGUGUAUUAACCGGAUAUUGGAGGCAGUGGGAUUGUUUCAAAAUAAAACAACCCCCCUUUGAAGUGAGAGUACAUCAAAGCCAGUUCUUCUUACCUUUAAGAAUUUGGACUUUUCUUCUGAGUAAAGACUAUGAAUCCACAUGCCCAACUGGAUGGGUGAUCACAGCAUAGUCUCCUCUCCCCAUUCUGAACUAAUUGUGAUAGUCUGUCAUUUUACUAAGGAUGACUGUGACAUUUGGUGCAUCACCACACAAUGAUUGUUGAUCUCAGGGCUGGAAUGUGAGCUUUUUGAGGGUAGAGACUUUUUGUCUAAUCUCUGAUUUCUGAGCAUAUUGCACAUUACCUGUUUCACAGGAGACUUUAAAAGCAUGCUGAAGGGAGGACGAAGAGGAAAGGGAGGGACGGAUGGAGAAUGGAAGGGAGUCCGCUAAGACGGGUGGAACUCAUUCAGAGUUGUUGAAAUGCUGAACUCCUGCGGCCUUCAGUUAGCUUCCUGACGCCUAGAGUACUGGGGAUAGUGAGAAAGACACAAAAUGUGGACUCAGGAAACUCGGGUUUGUGUCCCAGCUCUACCACUUAGUGUGUGUAUGUCCUUAGAGGAGGCGCUUAAUCUCCAACCCUCAGUAUCCUCUUCUGUAAACUGGGGAUUAUUUUACCUUGAAGAGCUCUUGAGGGAUUAAGUGAAAUAGUACAUGGGAGAGCAUUCGGCAGACUAUUAAGUGCCAUGUAUGUUACUCAUAAUUAGUAUGACCCUGGAUUCAGUGCCAUCUUCAGCUGAACCCUCUGAUCUGUGUUUUAUUUGGCAAAACAUUGUAUUUGGAGAGAAUAUUUUGAAGGAGGGGAAAAGAUCUGAUCUUUUACUCAUUUUUUCUUCUCAUUUUAAAGAUUUUGCUAUCUUAUUUGCGUUGGAUAACUAUCAUUUUUAAAACUAUCUGGAGGCAACAGUGAUUCCAAACGUCAGCCAGUGGAAUCAGAAUCACUUGAGAGCUUUAUAAAAUGCAGAUUCCCAGGUCUCAACCCUGAGGGACUCUUCAAUUGUUCUGGAGCGGGGAUAGGGACUCUGUCGUCUGAAGAGCUGCCCAGAUCAGCCCUGAGCUAACAUCUGCCGCCAAUCCUCCUCUCCUUGCUGAGGAAGACUGGUCCUGAGCCGACAUCCAUGCCUAUCUUCCUCUACUGUAUAUGUGGGACACCUACCACAGCAUGGCUUGACAAGCAGUGCAUAGGUCCACACCCAGGAUCCAAACCAGCAAACCUUGGGCCGCCAAAGCCGAACAGGCAAACUUAACUUCUGUGCCACCAGCCAGCUCCUCACGGGGAUGUUUUUAUAUGAAAAUUAAUGUGAAAAAUUAAUGCUGUUUUGGAUUUCUUGGAAGAACUCAUACGCAUCCAUCAUCUUUUGGCUCAAGCAAGUAUUUCUCUCUGGGGUUACCAUCCAUCACAAAUCCUGUAAACAAAAAAAAGUCCUUUGAAAUUUCAUACAUGGCUGGUGGGAAUAUAAAUUGGUACAACCACUUUGGAGAACUGUUUAGGAGUUCUUGCAAAGCUGAAUAUUUGCAUAUCCUAUUUCACCCCUUCACACACACCCAACAGAAAUGCAUACAUAAGUUUACCAAAGACAUGUACUAGAAUGUUCAUAGUCACACUGAUCAUAAUAACUUAAAACCGUAAACUGCUCAAAUAAUCAUCCACAGCAGAAUGGAUAAAUAAAUCAUAAUAUCUUCACACAAUAGAAUACUAUACAGCAAAGAAAGUGAAUUAUCUACAAUUAUAUGCAAAAGUAGAUGAAUUUCACACUCCUGAGUUUGGAUUAAAGAAGCUAAACUUCAAUUAAAAGUUGAAAUCAACCCCAAGGAUGUAUAUGCGAAGUGUAGCUGUUGAUGCUCACCAAGGGCAAGCUGGCAUUUAUUUAUAGAAGGACCCCUUUUCUUUUUAAAAAGGUGCGAGAAGAUCCCACACACUGUAACCCCUGAACACUCUUUUCCUGACUCACCAUUUUGGUUGUCUUUAGAGAAGUUUGACAAAAAAAUGCCUGAAAAAAGAUUUACCCGUAAGGUGUAUUUUACAAAAGUUUUAUGAGUUGAGAUAAUUUAACUAGGCCUUCGAAAAUGAAGGAACAUGUUAGCUUCAUGUUCAUAGCAACUUUCUGUUCACCUCAAAACCUGCCUUGAACAGAGCUCGGAAAGAAAUGCUGCUGAACUGGCCAGCUGAGCGAGGUGUUCAGAAACGACUUCAGAAAAAAUUGUGCAUUUCAAAGCAUUUGAAAAAAGUAUAGCCUUAUUGCUGUGUACAUGGUUUUAAAAAUUCCUUCUUAAAACGGCUUUCUUUCUUAUAAAAAUUAUGUGAUGUAUGUUCAUUUUUAAGUCAAUCGAUACAGAACAGUACAAAGCAGAAAUCAACACAUUAAAUAAAACGCAUUAAAUAAAAUAAGGGUCAAUGCCGCCUCCCAAGUAACUGUUACUGGUGUGAAGUGAGUAUCUUCCAGCCAGGCUCUAGAUAGAGAUUAUUUUGUCAACGUGGUGCAAACUUAAACCAAAAACAAAUUACAAAGGAAAAUUGUUUGGAAAAUUUCCAUUCAUAUCUGUGGUGAAGGAGAGAGAGGAACACGUGCUUUGGGAGACGGUAAAACAGCCUCUUUCUGGUCAUUCUUUGGAUGAGAUGAGCUCUGAUAACGAAAUAGUUGGAAUUCUAAGGCAAAUAGUGCCUUUCUGAUCAAGCGUGGGCCUGAGGGGGGAGGCCCGAUGGAAAGGACAGGAACAGCCUCUAGUCCCCUGUGGGGACUUUCUGAGUGAAAGAUGGAACCAAGAUGCAGACCAUCACAGAGCAAAAGAAGGGACAAGCAGGUACGACCCAGAGUUACUGCCAAAGCAACAAACUGCGGGGCUGAGGAGACGAGCACACGGGAACAGCAAGGGGACUGGGAUAGCGAAGACGUGGAAGCUUUGAAAAAUGUUCCUGGAGCUGGUCAAAGGAAAGAAAUAGAACAAAAUAGUGUCUCAUUGGUCUAAACACUCUUAAUUAAAAUCUUUUCAGUUUCUUCUAUAUUUUUAAGAGGCGACGUCUUGCGAUUGCAGAUUAAAUGUGCUAAUUCUUAGACUCUACCUACUUAGUAAAUCUAGUCUAAGUAAGCUGAGCACGAAAAUAAACUUCUUAUUUGUUGCAUGGCUCCUUCUGUAAAAGUUUAGCAAAAUUUUCACAAAAUGAGGGUUGAUUUAACUGAGGGGGCAGUAAGGCACAAAUCUGGCCUUUCCAGCAGUCUGAGAUGCUGCCUGUCUGACUCAGGGGACUGACUUUAUCACUCACUAGCCUAAGGGAGCCAAGGACACUCCGAGAUUGAGAAAGGAAACAUUCUCCCCUGCCCCGCAGCUUUUCGAGGAUAAAGGCUUCCAGACUGCAGCCAGCAGAGCAGCAAGCCCUUAAAACUUGGUCCAACUUUCCUUGGUUCUCACUUGCAUAUUAAAAUCUCAAAUUGAUGUCCGCCUUUAAUACCAUUCUCUCUGGUUAAUGAUGGAGAGCAGACCCAAGCCAUUGACAGCCCACUGUCAUGGAGCAUGCCCUGGUCCAUGAGCUUGACCUGGAUUAGCUGUUGGCACUCAUAAUUCUCUAUAAGGCAAGCACUAUUAUUAUCCCCAUUUUACAGAUGAGGACAUGGAGGCAGAGAGAAGUUAAGCUACCUGCCCAAGGUCACAGAGCUAGUAUGUGAGGCUCCAGUGUAUACUCUGAGCAAAGGGCCCAGUGCCAAAAACCUGACUCAUGAAGACUGGGGGCAACUAAAGUUAGGACGUGGACCAAAUUUCCUUAAAACAAGCCAGUGUCCCUGCUGUAAGCUAAUUAUUUCAAGUGGCUUUGGAGUCACAAAAUCCCACAGUAAACCCCCUCCGGCAGUGUAUUAUACUGGCUGCUGGCCUCCUGACCUUGCCCCACAGUGUGUACUCAGCUCCUUUGCAGGAAGUGAGAGGUGUACACGUGCAUGAGUGUGUGUGUGAAGAGUGUGCAUGCGACUAUGUGUGAGUGAAUGCAUGUGAGUGUGUGGGUAUGAAUUCAUGUAAGUGGAGGGAUUGCGACUAUGUGAGUGCGUCUGUGAGUGUGUGUGGGAGUGAUGUAUGUGAAUGUGUGUAUGUGCGUGUGUGAGUGAGUGAGAGUGUGAAUGAGUGUGUGAGUGAAUGUAUUGAAGGUGGAUGUGUGUGGAUGUAUGUGAGUGUGUCUGAGUGAAUGUGUACACAUGUGUGGGAAUAUGGGUAUGAAUGCAUAUGCAUGUAUGUGUGUGUGCAUGCUAAUGUGAAUGUCUGAGUGUGUACCUGUGUGUGUCUGAAUGAAAAUGUGUGUAUGUUUGAGUGAUACAGGUGAGUGUGCUUGUGUGUUCGUGUUGCAUGUGUGUGUGUGAAAGUGUGAGUCUGUGUGCUGCUCCCAACUUCCUUUACUGGCAGCAAGAUCAAGUGAUCUGUGAGCUCUGCCCUCUGAUGAGAAAGCUUGAGGAAGUUGCCCAAGGACAGCUCCAGCCACGGAAAAGAGAGGACGUCAGCUCCGCGCCACUGGGAGAAGUUGCCAAGUGGACUCUGAUAGGCGGGACGUAGCAACCCCAGUCUGCCCUGCUGGCCCAGCUGCCUGGACCGCUCUGUGAAAUCAGCCCUUCGCUUUCCAGGAGGAAAGUAGAAAAGUCUCCAUUACGCAACAAACCCAAUUUGGAGCUGAAAAUUCUGACUGAGUGAAUUAGGCCAUGUUACAAAUGAAAGACUACACCUUCAGUGUGAGUUAAUUGCCCAGCUUUUCAAGAACCAGAAAACGAAAUAAAGAAAGGAACUCUCAACAGGGAGGCCACCAUGUCACUGAGGAGAACCGAGUCAGAACAAUGACUGAGUGGCUGGCCGAGGCCACCUGCCUUAGAGGCGGGAAUUGAGUCAAUAAAGGCACUAAACAAACAGUUGGGCUUCAGUGUUCCAAAUCAGUUUGUACAGUGGUUAAAGCUUGUGGGCCGAGGAGCACUGAAAGCCUGCACACAUCCUCUGUUAAAUCUGAGCCAAUCUCCCGGGCUGGUGCUUUGUUUACUCAGUGUCUUUCAUUGCAAAAUGGCUGCCCCAUUAGGGUCAUAAGCUGAGCUGGGUGGAGCAGGGCACAGAGAAGGCUCAGGCGGUGGGGAUGGUGUCUGCAUCCACAGCUGUGCUGGCUCCCCUGCCUGCAGGAGAAAGUGGUGGCUGCAUAUUCCUCACCGAGAGAGGGGCUUGGGGUCCCAUAACCUGAAUAAAGCAGAAGCCUCAGGUGAACAGAACAAAAUGGAAGGAAAAAAGGCAUAAAACACACCCUGUCAGUUAGAGAAUGUCUUGGAAACAGCCUUGAAGAUUCAAGCUCCAAGGUGAGAAAAGGACCUAAGAGCAAGGAGGGUGACUGGAAGACUGGAAGGGACUUCACUCUUCUCCAAAAGCAG